Poecilia reticulata (guppy) is the source of this 976-nucleotide non-coding RNA. The record is from RefSeq and is a predicted model, not a curated record. Lineage: Eukaryota; Metazoa; Chordata; Actinopteri; Cyprinodontiformes; Poeciliidae.
AGGUGAGAAAAAUCAAUAUGGUUCUGACAAAUGCAUGUAAAUUCUGCACCUGCAGACUAUCAGUAAUAUCUUUGGUGGUUUGCGUGACACUGUGCUCUGCAGAUGUUUACAUCUUGGGGCCCCUUAAGUCAAAUUUCAAGCCUCUCUUUUAGCAGAUCGGGGAGCCUGCUUCCUGUUUGAACCCCAGAUGGUUGACUGGAAUGUAAAGCCAUUAGAUGGUGCAGUUGUGGGGAUGAGAGAGGGGGGCACUAGCCUGUACGCUGACGUCAAUAAAAACAGUCAUUUCCAACCAGUCUGCGCAUUGACCGACCAUUCAAAAACAUUACGCACCGCACCGCGGCCGGACCACGCUCGAUUACUCGACUGAAAUAACCUUUUUUUUUUUCUCUUUUUUUUUUUUUUUCGCAGAUCCUUGGAGAGCGGACGCAGUGCGGACGAUCCCACCAUUGCAGGUGGAAGAGGAGCAUCUUGGAGGAGAAUCAUUCUGCUGAUCACCGUCAAACUGCUCUACGCUUUUAGCCUCUUUACGGUGCUGCCUUGUCUAAUAAUGUUCAAGCAGCAUUGUACAGGGCUAUGACAGCGUAGAGAGCUGAGCUGCGCUGCGCACCCAACAUUUGCUGCCAACCAGAGCCGGCCAGGAGCAGAAGCGAAAUCAGCCGCUGCUGCCCCUAAAACCUCUUUUACUUCUAGUACAGAUGAUAAGAAUCUGCUUAUUUGUAAAAAAAAAAAAAAAAAGUGAGUCUGCUUGAAAUAGUUGUCCCUUUGUAAAUUAAGUAUCUUAUAGUUAAUGUCUGUAAACCUUUGAUGACCAAAACUGUAUUUUUUUUUUCCUGCAUUUUUCACAAAGUACACUGUGUGAAAAUGUAGACUUUGCGUUUCCCUUAUUAUUGGGACAGAUGGUCUUUAAUGCAUGAUAUGUUCAGCAAAAGUAUAAAACGGUUAAUAAAAAUAAACAUAAUGUAUUUAAAUUUUCUUA